RNAcentral lists this long non-coding RNA (513 nucleotides) under Trifolium pratense (red clover). RNAcentral describes it as "long non-coding RNA (TPRA_LNC013173)". The record is from RNAcentral. Lineage: Eukaryota; Viridiplantae; Streptophyta; Magnoliopsida; Fabales; Fabaceae.
CUACACAGCUUUUAAAAUUAACAAACCAUGUUUAACAAAACCAUAGCUCUCUAUUUUAUUGAAAGACGACAGAGAUAUUCAAAACCACAAGUGUGUGCAAAUAUCAAUAAAUUUUAUCACUUUUCAACUAUACUCAUGCUUGCAUCCAUAACAUUCUCUUAAGCAAAGACAUGACAUGAAAUGCUUUUCGGUGGAAAUAUUAAUAGCACUCAAAUAUCAAGACAUGGUAACACAAAUAAAUCAUCCUUGAACAAAGAAAAUUAAAUAAGGUAGAAUAGAUAGAACCUGAAUAAAAUAUAUAAGUAGGUACAACUUUCAGAAACUUAUUCACCAUUUUCCUAUAGAAAAAGUUCACCAAACUCCAGGUAUAUUGCCCACAACAUGUCACACCAAUCAUUGCAUUAAUAACAGUAUAAACAAAUCACAAAAUAGAAUUAGUAACAAAUAUACUUUAUAAUAAUAAUAAUUCUAUGCCAAUUCAAAACGAAUUACUCUUAAGAUUGUUGGAAAAAU